AAAAGUUGAGGAAAGGAAGAAGAAAAGGAAGAAGAGUGAAAGAAGAAAGGAAAGAAGAGUAAAAGAAGGAAAGAAGAAAGGAAAGAAGAGUGAAGAAAGGAAAGAAGUGGAAGAAGGAAAGAAGAGUGGAAGAAGGAAAGAAUAAAGGAAAGAAGAGUGAAGAAAGGAAAGAAGAAAAGAAUGAAGAGUGGAAGAAGGAAAGAAGAAAGGAAAGAAGAGUGAAGAAAGGAAAGAAGAGUGGAAGAAGAAAAGAAGAAAGGAAAGAAGAGUAAAAGAAGGAAAGAAGAGUGGAGGAAGGAAAGAAGAGUGGAAGAAGGAAAGCAGAAAGGAAAGAAGAGUGGAAGAAGGAAAGAAUAAAGGAAAGAAGAAAAGAAAGAAGAGUGAAAGAAGAAAGGAAAGAAGAGUGAAAGAAGAAAGGAAAGAAGAGUGGAAGAAAAGAAAGAAGGAAAGAUGAAAGGAAAGAAGAGUGAAGAAAGAAAAGAAGAGUAGAAGAAGGAAAGAAGAGUUGAAGAAGGAAAGAAGAAAGGAAAGGAGAGUGGAAGAAGGAAAGAAGAGUGGAAGAACGACAGAAGAAGAGUGGAAGAAGGAAAGAAUAAUAUUCCUAGUUAUACAGUUAAAUGGAGAGGGACAGUGUUGAGAGGAGCCUUGGAACCUUGGCGCAGGUGUCAGU
Clupea harengus (Atlantic herring) is the source of this 670-nucleotide long non-coding RNA. Lineage: Eukaryota; Metazoa; Chordata; Actinopteri; Clupeiformes; Clupeidae. The record is from Ensembl.